This 77-nucleotide transfer RNA is filed under the name Holosporales bacterium. Its description in RNAcentral is "tRNA-Trp". It matches the Rfam family "tRNA". Rfam says of the family: Transfer RNA (tRNA) molecules are approximately 80 nucleotides in length. Lineage: Bacteria; Pseudomonadati; Pseudomonadota; Alphaproteobacteria; Holosporales. The record is from RNAcentral.
GGGGGCGUAGCGCAAUUGGCUAGAGCAGCGGUCUCCAAAACCGCAGGUUGUGGGUUCGAGUCCUUCCGCCCCUGCCA